GUCUAUGGCCAUACCACCCUGAAUGCACCUGAUCUUGUCUGAUCUUGGAAGCUAAUCAGGGUUGGGCCUGGGUUAGUAGUUGGAUGAGAGAUUUUUAUAUGCAUAUGUAAUAACAAAGGUCUUCAAACUCA
RNAcentral lists this ribosomal RNA (131 nucleotides) under Carlito syrichta (Philippine tarsier). The record is from RNAcentral. Lineage: Eukaryota; Metazoa; Chordata; Mammalia; Primates; Tarsiidae.